Molecule: long non-coding RNA, 1672 nt
Filed under: Chrysolophus pictus (golden pheasant)
Lineage: Eukaryota; Metazoa; Chordata; Aves; Galliformes; Phasianidae
Description: lncRNA (ENSCPIG00010001369.1)
Source: RNAcentral
UAUGGGGUGACCAGUCCCUCUAUGGGGUACCCAGUGCCAUUAUGGGGUACCGAGUGCCAUUAUGGGGUGCCCAGUGCCAAUAUGGGGUACCCAGUGCUGUUAUGGGGUGCCCAGUGCCACUAUGGGGUACCCAGUGCGGUUAGGGUGAACCCACUGCCAUUACGGGGUACCCAUUACCACCUGCUUGUACGCAUCCCCACUAUUUGGCAUGCCUAAUGCUCACUAUUUGGCAGCACCCAUGACCCCCAUUUGUCACUCUCACGCUCACUAUUUGGCACUGCCUACACUCACUAUUUGGCAGCACCCAUGACCCCCAUUUGGUACAGCCCACGCUCACUAUUUGGCAGCACCCAUGAUCCCCAAUUAGCACUGCCCAUGCUCACUAUAUGGCACUCCCAACACUCACUAUUUGGCAGCACCCAUGACCCCCAUUUGGCGCUCCCUGUGCUCACUAUUUGGCACUCUCAAUGCUCGCCAUUUGGCAGCACCCAUGACCCCCAUUUGGCGCUCCCUGUACUCACUAUUUGGCACUGCCCAUGCUCACCAUUUGGCAGUGCCCACGCUCACUAUUUGGCAGCACUCACCACCUGGGCUCUGUAUCCCGUCCUGUUGUCCGCCAUGGCCGCCAAGGACUUGAGGAAGGGGAACAUGGCGGCCUUGGAGUGCGCCCAGCAGCCGACCAGCAGCUUCACCUCCACCCUGCGCUCAAACACGGCCCGGCGCAGCCGGUCGUCGAUCUCCGGCCAGAACCUGUGGGGGACAGCGGGUCACGGCGCCGUUUGGUGCUGCCAGGACCUGUGGGGUGCCAGAACUCCGGGUCACCCAUAGCCCUGCCAGGACCUGUCGGGAUGCCAGAACUCCGGGUCACCCAUAGCCCUGCCAGGACCUGUCGGGAUGCCAGAACUCCGGGUCACCCAUAGCCCUGCCAGGACCUGUCGGGAUGCCAGAACUCCGGGUCACCCAUAGCCCUGCCAGGACCUGUCGGGAUGCCAGAACUCCGGGUCACCCAUAGCCCUGCCAGGACCUGUCGGGAUGCCAGAACUCCGGGUCACCCAUAGCCCUGCCAGGACCUGUCGGGAUGCCAGAACUCCGGGUCACCCAUAGCCCUGCCAGGACCUGUCGGGAUGCCAGAACUCCGGGUCACCCAUAGCCCUGCCAGGACCUGUCGGGAUGCCAGAACUCCGGGUCACCCAUAGCCCUGCCAGGACCUGUCGGGAUGCCAGAACUCCGGGUCACCCAUAGCCCUGCCAGGACCUGUCGGGAUGCCAGAACUCCGGGUCACCCAUAGCCCUGCCAGGACCUGUCGGGAUGCCAGAACUCCGGGUCACCCAUAGCCCUGCCAGGACCUGUCGGGAUGCCAGAACUCCGUGUCACCCCCAGCCCUGCCAGGACCUGUUGGGGUGCCAGAACUCCGGGUCACCCACUGCUCUGCCAGGACCUGUUGGGUGCCAGAACUCCGGGUCACCCAUUGCCCUUCCAGGACCUGUUGGGUGCUAGGACUCGAAGUCACACACAGCCCUGCCAGGACCUGUUGGGGCGGCGGAACUCCAGGUCACCCAUAGCCCUGCCAGGACCUGUCAGGAUGCCAGAACUCCGUGUCACCCACUGCCCUGCCAGGACCUGUCGGGAUGCCAGAACUCCGUGUCACCCACUGCCCUGCCAGGACCUGUCC